RNAcentral lists this ribosomal RNA (716 nucleotides) under uncultured bacterium. Its description in RNAcentral is "bacterial SSU rRNA". It matches the Rfam family "Bacterial small subunit ribosomal RNA", at positions 46 to 774 of the family's 1533-position model. The record is from RNAcentral.
UCAUCAUUUUUGAAGCAAUUAGCUUGCUAAGGGUGGAAAUGUUGGUGACUUAGUGGCGGACGGGCGAGUAACGCGUGGGUAACCUGCCAUAUACAGGGGGAUAACACUUAGAAAUAGGUGCUAAUACCGCAUAAGCGCACAGGACCGCAUGGUCUGGAGUGAAAAACAUUAGUGGUAUAUGAUGGACCCGCGUCUGAUUAGCUGGUUGGUGAGGUAACGGCCCACCAAGGCGACGAUCAGUAGCCGGCCUGAGAGGGUGGACGGCCACAUUGGGACUGAGACACGGCCCAAACUCCUACGGGAGGCAGCAGUGGGGGAUAUUGGACAAUGGGGGGAACCCUGAUCCAGCGACGCCGCGUGAGUGAAGAAGUAUCUCGGUAUGUAAAGCUCUAUCAGCAGGGAAGAAAGAAAUGACGGUACCUGAGUAAGAAGCCCCGGCUAACUACGUGCCAGCAGCCGCGGUAUUACGUAGGGGGCAAGCGUUAUCCGGAAUUACUGGGUGUAAAGGGAGCGUAGACGGUGAAGUAAGUCUGGAGUGAAAGGCGGGGGCCCAACCCCCGGACUGCUCUGGAAACUAUUUGACUGGAGUGCAGGAGAGGUAAGCGGAAUUCCUAGUGUAGCGGUGAAAUGCGUAGAUAUUAGGAGGAACACCAGUGGCGAAGGCGGCUUACUGGACUGUAACUGACGUUGAGGCUCGAAAGCGUGGGGAGCAAACA